This 523-nucleotide ribosomal RNA is filed under the name uncultured bacterium. RNAcentral describes it as "bacterial SSU rRNA". It matches the Rfam family "Bacterial small subunit ribosomal RNA", at positions 10 to 518 of the family's 1533-position model. The record is from RNAcentral.
AGUUGAUAUGGCUCAGAUUGAACGCUGGCGGCGUGCUUAACACAUGCAAGUCGCGCGUGAAAGGACUUCGGUCCGAGUAAAGCGGCGCACGGGUGAGUAACGCGUGGAUGAUCUACCCAUGAGUUAGGAAUAACGGCUGGAAACGGUCGCUAAUACCAAAUACGCUCCGAUUUCAACUUCGGGGGAAAGGUGGCCUCUGCUUGCAAGCUACUGCUCAUGGAUGAGUCCGCGUCCCAUUAGCUAGUUGGUGGGGUAACGGCCCACCAAGGCGACGAUGGGUAGCCGGUCUGAGAGGAUGACCGGCCACACUGGGACUGGAACACGGCCCAGACUCCUACGGGAGGCAGCAGUGGGGAAUAUUGCGCAAUGGGCGAAAGCCUGACGCAGCGACGCCGCGUGAGGGGAAUGAAGGUCCUCGGAUCGUAAACCUCUGUCAGGAGGGAAGAACCGCCACGGUGCUAAUCAGCCGUGGUCUGACGGUACCUCCAAAGGAAGCACCGGCUAACUCCGUGCCAGCCGCCGC